CCUCAACAAGCACCUGCAAAGAACACAUGCUAAGACCUGUCUGUGCAACAGCCUCAACAAGAGAACAGGAAGUCGCAGAAAAAACCUGCUAAAGCCAAGACGCCUGUAAAAGGCCUGUCUGUGCAACAGCCUCAACAAGAGAACAGGAAGUCGCAGAAAAAACAUGCUAAGGCCA
This is a long non-coding RNA of Gymnodraco acuticeps, 175 nucleotides long. RefSeq lists it as uncharacterized. The transcript is spliced from 3 exons. Lineage: Eukaryota; Metazoa; Chordata; Actinopteri; Perciformes; Bathydraconidae. The record is from RefSeq and is a predicted model, not a curated record.